UACGUAGGGGGCAAGCGUUGUCCGGAAUUAUUGGGCGUAAAGAGCGUGUAGGCGGUCCGGUAAGUCAGCUGUGAAAGUCCAGGGCUCAACCCUGGAAUGCCGGUGGAAACUGUCGAGCUCGAGUCCGGAAGAGGCGAGUGGAAUUCCUGGUGUAGCGGUGAAAUGCGCAGAUAUCAGGAGGAACACCAAUGGCGAAGGCAGCUCGCUGGGACGGUACUGACGCUGAGACGCGAAAGCGUGGGGAGCAAACAGG
RNAcentral lists this ribosomal RNA (253 nucleotides) under uncultured bacterium. Its description in RNAcentral is "partial 16S ribosomal RNA". It matches the Rfam family "Bacterial small subunit ribosomal RNA", at positions 524 to 776 of the family's 1533-position model. The record is from RNAcentral.